RNAcentral lists this non-coding RNA (121 nucleotides) under Skermanella aerolata. RNAcentral's name for it is "Glycine sequence". It matches the Rfam family "Glycine riboswitch aptamer". Rfam says of the family: This family represents the bacterial glycine riboswitch. Glycine riboswitches usually consist of two metabolite-binding aptamers domains with similar structures in tandem. Lineage: Bacteria; Pseudomonadati; Pseudomonadota; Alphaproteobacteria; Rhodospirillales; Azospirillaceae. The record is from Rfam by way of RNAcentral.
ACGAUCUGGAGAGAGGCGGCCAUGCCAAAUCAUCAGGCAUGACGACGCCCACCGAAGGGGAAGCUCGACGCUCUAAGGAGCCUCGGGGCAAGCUCUCAGGUACAGAGACAGAUGGGGAAAA